CAGGACAGUCAAGAUGGCUCCAAUUCAACUUUUAGGGUUUUUGCUGUUCUGCCUCCCAGCCAUGAGAUGUGACAUCCAGAUGACCCAGUCUCCUUCACUCCUGUCAGCAUCUGUGGGAGACAGAGUCACUCUCAGCUGCAAAGCAAGUCAGAGUAUUUACAACAACUUAGCCUGGUAUCAGCAAAAGCUUGGAGAAGCUCCCAAACUCCUGAUAUAUAAUGCAAAGAGUUUGCAAACGGGCAUCCCGUCAAGGUUCAGUGGCAGUGGAUCUGGUACAGAUUACACACUCGCCAUCAGCAGCCUGCAGCCUGAAGAUGUUGCCAUAUAUUUCUGCCAGCAAUAUGACAGGCUCCCUCAUUUUAUCCAAACCUUUGAAGGAACAAAAUGUACAGUUGCUUGCUGGUCAGGAUGGAACCAACAGACAUCAGGAAAAUCUCCAAAAUUCUUGAUCUAUGGUUCAUCUGACUUGUAA
Molecule: non-coding RNA, 472 nt
Organism: Rattus rattus (black rat)
Lineage: Eukaryota; Metazoa; Chordata; Mammalia; Rodentia; Muridae
Source: the annotation of a RefSeq genome assembly